GAUGAACGCUGGCGGCGUGCCUAAUACAUGCAAGUCGAGCGAACGGACGAGAAGCUUGCUUCUCUGAUGUUAGCGGCGGACGGGUGAGUAACACGUGGAUAACCUACCUAUAAGACUGGGAUAACUUCGGGAAACCGGAGCUAAUACCGGAUAAUAUUUUGAACCGCAUGGUUCAAAAGUGAAAGACGGUCUUGCUGUCACUUAUAGAUGGAUCCGCGCUGCAUUAGCUAGUUGGUAAGGUAACGGCUUACCAAGGCAACGAUGCAUAGCCGACCUGAGAGGGUGAUCGGCCACACUGGAACUGAGACACGGUCCAGACUCCUGCGGGAGGCAGCAGUAGGGAAUCUUCCGCAAUGGGCGAAAGCCUGACGGAGCAACGCCGCGUGAGUGAUGAAGGUCUUCGGAUCGUAAAACUCUGUUAUUAGGGAAGAUCAUAUGUGUAAGUAACUGUGCACAUCUUGACGGUACCUAAUCAGAAAGCCACGGCUAACUACGUG
This 497-nucleotide ribosomal RNA is filed under the name uncultured bacterium. RNAcentral's name for it is "partial 16S ribosomal RNA". It matches the Rfam family "Bacterial small subunit ribosomal RNA", at positions 28 to 507 of the family's 1533-position model. The record is from RNAcentral.